AAAGGCAAUUGGCCCAUCCCUCUGCCUCUGGCCACAGCCAGACCUCACCCAGUACAGUUUGUGGAGGGAAGAAUUUGUACCCCCUCUCCGUGUUCUCCCUGACUUCGGGGACCCGGCCGUCGUGCUAUUUGAGGCCAUGGACUUCGAGGGGCACGGCGUGGAGGUGAGCAAGGCAUUGCCGGAUGUGGAGCUGGUGCAACACGGCCCCAGCACACAGGCCAUCCACGUGCUCAGCGGCGUGUGGGUGGCCUACCAGGAGGUGGGCUUCUCCGGGGAACAGUACGUGCUGGAGAAGGGCGUGUACCGUAACUGCGAGGACUGGGGCGCUGGCAACAGCACCCUCGCCUCGCUGCAGCCGGUCCUACAGGUCGGGGAGCACGAUCUGCACUUCGUCUCAAAGAUUCAGCUUUUCUCCCGCCCCGACUUUCUGGGCGACCACUUCUCUUUCGAAGAUGACCAGGCCGCUCUGCCCGCCUCCUUCCGACCUCAGUCCUGCCGGGUCCACGGCGGCAGCUGGAUCCUGUUUGAUGAGACGAACUUCGAGGGU
Molecule: small RNA, 547 nt
Filed under: Pan troglodytes (chimpanzee)
Lineage: Eukaryota; Metazoa; Chordata; Mammalia; Primates; Hominidae
Description: processed transcript
Source: RNAcentral